GAGGGGGCGAAAUCGCGCCGGCAGCGGGGGAGAGCUUCGGCGGAGAAGUUCCCCGGCCGUGCGACGGGCGGCGGGACCGGCCGCCGACGCCGUGCUCCCGGUGUGCUUCCGCCAGCCUGCAGUUCUCCGUCUGCAUUGCCUCUGCUCUCUCCGGAUAAGAUCCAGAUUUGCCUGUGCGUUUCUUCUCCGAUUUGCCGCCGAUGAUUCCCUUGCUGAUUCAUGUCCCCCUUUUGCCCGUUCCUGUCUUCGCCGGUGCAGGGUCGUAAUGAUUGCGUGUCUGUGCUCUCCUCCUCCACUGUUUCCGCUCCGGACGUUAGCUGCGUUCCUGGGGUCUCCAAGCCGUGUUCGGUGUUCGUGCUUUUGUCUGCACUGCUUCCACUGCUUCCACUGCAGUUGACUUUUGGAACCUAUGACAGCAUUCUUUUGGGUGUUCCAGCGUGAUGCACCACUUAUAGUAUUAAUCCAAAAUAUGGUUCGGAGGACGACUUUGUAUCAACUGUGCACGCAAACUCUUUGAAACCAGCUUCGGAAUCAUCAUCAGCAUGCAGCAGCCAAGUCCCUCACCAGCCUGCUCCACUGAAGAUGGCGCUGCACAAGAACCUGCUGAACUCUCCAUGCUGGUUUCGCCUUUGUGUGUUUUGGUUGGCCGAAAUUGCUGUUACAACUGCAGUUCAUGACCUUUCUGGUCUGUACUAGCACAUAUUGCCCCAUCAUCACAGCUGUAGCUGUUGGAUGCGGCUAGGAAUUUGUGGAUGAACCUGUAGCCCAAUCGUAAAACUCUGUGUUGCCUAUGAUUCUUCUGACUGGAAAUCGUUUAUGAAGGCAGCAAUUUAUGCUAUGUUUUACACUUUC
Panicum virgatum (switchgrass) is the source of this 852-nucleotide long non-coding RNA. RefSeq lists it as uncharacterized. The record is from RefSeq and is a predicted model, not a curated record. The transcript is spliced from 3 exons. NCBI's taxonomy places the organism in Eukaryota, Viridiplantae, Streptophyta, Magnoliopsida, Poales, Poaceae.